RNAcentral lists this ribosomal RNA (253 nucleotides) under uncultured bacterium. Its description in RNAcentral is "partial 16S ribosomal RNA". It matches the Rfam family "Bacterial small subunit ribosomal RNA", at positions 524 to 776 of the family's 1533-position model. The record is from RNAcentral.
UACGUAGGGUGCGAGCGUUAAUCGGAAUUACUGGGCGUAAAGCGUGCGUAGACGGUUAUGUAAGUCAGAUGUGAAAGCCCAGGGCUCAACCUUGGAAUUGCAUUUGAGACUGCAUAGCUAGGGUGCGGAAGAGGGAAGCGGAAUUUCCGGUGUAGCGGUGAAAUGCGUAGAUAUCGGAAGGAACACCAGUGGCGAAAGCGGCUUCCUGGUCCAGCACCGACGUUCAGGCACGAAAGCGUGGGGAGCAAACAGG